Molecule: ribosomal RNA, 468 nt
Filed under: uncultured bacterium
Lineage: Bacteria
Description: partial 16S ribosomal RNA
Rfam family: Bacterial small subunit ribosomal RNA
Source: RNAcentral
GACGAACGCUGGCGGCGUGCUUAACACAUGCAAGUCGAACGGAAAGGCCCUGCUUUUGUGGGGUGCUCGAGUGGCGAACGGGUGAGUAACACGUGAGUAACCUGCCCUUGACUUUGGGAUAACUUCAGGAAACUGGGGCUAAUACCGGAUAGGAGCUCCUGCUGCAUGGUGGGGGUUGGAAAGUGUCGGCGGUUGGGGAUGGACUCGCGGCUUAUCAGCUUGUUGGUGGGGUAGUGGCUUACCAAGGCUUUGACGGGUAGCCGGCCUGAGAGGGUGACCGGCCACAUUGGGACUGAGAUACGGCCCAGACUCCUACGGGAGGCAGCAGUGGGGAAUAUUGCACAAUGGGCGGGAGCCUGAUGCAGCAACGCCGCGUGCGGGAUGACGGCCUUCGGGUUGUAAACCGCUUUCGCCUGUGACGAAGCGUGAGUGACGGUAAUGGGUAAAGAAGCACCGGCUAACUACGUG